AAUCCGAAGAAGAGGCCUCGGUGUACUUGAAUGCCAUCAGGAAGGAUUUCGGGCUCAACAAUCGAACGCAUCUCCACUUGGCGAAAUGACAGCUAUCCUUCUGUACUGGACGCAACGUGCUUGGAGGUGAACUAUCUGGAGUGGUUAUCGGUGAACCCAACAGUGUAGCUGGUAAAGAUUUACUUCCUUUAUUUAGAUUUAUUUCUUCUUCGACCAGUGUCACAGAAGAUUGUGGUUUGUUAAACUUAUUAGACAUCAUUUGGUUAGCUACAUGAACAA
Molecule: long non-coding RNA, 279 nt
Filed under: Polistes fuscatus (common paper wasp)
Lineage: Eukaryota; Metazoa; Arthropoda; Insecta; Hymenoptera; Vespidae
Description: uncharacterized LOC122523784
Source: RNAcentral